GGGUCAGCCCUGGCUGCGCCGCGGCCGGGGAGCGGCCACAGCCGGUGCGGGGACAGCGCGGAGCCGGGGCCGGACCGGGGGGUGCGGGGAGCGCGGGGCCGCUCGGAGCCGGGGGGUGUCCGGGGGGCGGGGGGGGGGGGGGGGGAGGCGGGGGCCGUCCCGUCGGUUUCCGCGGGCGGGGGCGUAGGGCCGGGGGGAGCGGCCGGGGGAGCUCGGCGGCCGCCGUCUUACGACAGAUCCUGGAAAGAGGAUCAAGGUGGGGCCCGCCCCGCCGCGCACCGCCGGCAACCGACGGGGCGGCCCGGGCUCGGCCGCUGGGAGCACGGCGGAGAGCUGCAGGCGGCGAGGCCCGGAGCGGCGAGCUCCAUCCAGCGCGGGCAGAGCACUCCCUGCAGAUGUGCCCCAAGCCACGGCCUGCUCCUCGCUCCCAGAUGAAUGCUCAGGUUCCUCUCACCUCCUUCUCUGGAGCUGAAACUAGAAACCCAAAAGCUCCACAGCGCUGGAUUCCGUGCUCCAUGAGCCCCAAGGCUCCGGCAUCCUGCCAGACCUGACGCCAAACGUUUUAUGGAGGGUGAAAAGUGCAGCAGAUAAAGGACGAGCAUUUAGAGAGACAAUAUUCUCCGCGAGAGGCACUUUCACAGCGACUGCAGAGCUUUCGAAAAAUAAUCUCAAGUUCCUUCGAGCUGUAGAUAUUUUUGGGAAGAGGGUUAGGGUAUUUUUCUACCUAAAUGGCACUUGAGGAGGAUGAGUCGCCCACUGCAGCCGGUAUGUGAAAUUUCAAGAACUGGAAUGGUUACAGAGAGCAGAUUUCUGUGCUCGUGGUGGAAGCCCACAGCUCCUCAUGCAAGAUUUCCAGUUGGGUUUUAAACAUGGGGAUGCCGGCACUCAUUUGCUGUGGUGUAAAGGCACUCCCUCCUAUUCCGCCCUGAAAGCUGCAGCAUGUUGCUGGUGUCAGGCCCACCACGUGCCUUACAUGGAACACACGCUUUCCUGUGCAGGCCAGAGUACAUGCAUUUGUGAAUGUAUUUAGGCAGAACGAUUGUGUAUCUUCACUUACGCAAGCAGCACAUCUGUGUAGGUCAGACCAAAAGCAUUCGCUGAGAAAACACUGUAUUAAAAUUCCUGGGUUUGGGCUCUCAUUCCCAGGGUUACGGGUUGCUCAAUAGUGACCCCUCUGUCAGCCUCUGCCUCCACAAAGGGAAGCAGGAACGAAAUGCAAUCUGCGUGUUCACAGCACCUACCAGCCCCGCAGCGCAUGCCAUGCCUGGAGUCCACAGCACCCACAGCCUUCGGGAGUUCCGGAGGAGAUAAACCUCUUUUGUUCCCAUUUCAUGCCUAAGACCUAUUUCUUCCCCUCUUGUGAGGUUGCCUUGGUUAUUGGGUUUCCUUGUAAGUUCGCCUUUAGGAAGAUAAGGUGAUGAGAGGACAGCAGCGUGUGCCCCCGUGUGCACCUCGCAUGUGUCGGGAGGAUUAUGAGCUUCUGACGUUCAUUUUCUUCUGAGUUCAUUUUAAAAGUAUAAUAUUACAAAGCAAAUAAUUCUGGCACCACUUGUAGCACUUCUGACACGAAGUGGAUCUCUGGACAGCGAGGAAAGCUACCGAGUGGCUGUGGGCUGCCUCUCUGGUGCAGAGUGAUGAUGAUGAGGAAGCUGGAAUGGACUGGAAUUUGGGUUUGAUUCAAAGGGAAAAGUUGGAUGUGCGGGGAGAGCAGAUGUCCAGCUGGUCCAAAUCAGAAGGUCCGUGCUGAAGUGCAUGCAGCAACACAAAUGAUGUCACCCAGGAUGAGCCUCGUCUGCUCCUCUAAGCACCUUCAGGCUCUCCAGCCCCAGCAGCGCAGGUGGGAACCUAUGCAGCAGAGGUCUCCUCCUUCCAUCCCCUGCGAGCAGAUCUCAGCAUCACUGAGAAACACCACACAUCCCAGCAAUUCCAGCUCCAAACAGAAUUCAUUCCAUCUAUUUAGCCCAUUAUUUUAAAGAUGACGUUGUUUUAAGCAAACUUGUUUUCUAAACACAGACCCAAUUCUAUGAAGUGCUCAGAGCUUGCAGGAGCACUCUUAAAAUCAAGCCCUGUGUUGGGUGCUAGCUGGAAAACCACAGCCCAUCUGGUGGGCUCCUUGCUCACAAGAUUGCUUCAAGCUCUCUGUACGUCAUGCAUUAUUAUGUAGCUCCAAAUCCUGAUGUUAGACAUAAAUAUGGAGUCUUGACAGAAGUGACAUUUGAAGCUCAAGUCCAGAUUUCAGGUUAAGGACCUGUCCCUGUGCAGUUCAUCUGCCCACUGUUGCCUCCAGAUUAGGGAGGAAGGCUGCUGGGUUAAUUUGUCUUUUGAUAAUUGCCACCAUGCCUCGUUUCCACUUGGUGGCCUGGCCUCAAGAAAUGGAGCAGCCAGUGGGAAGAACUGCUUGGAGAGGUGUGUGCAGGAGGGAGAUACCCUCCAUGGAAAUGCUGUGUUCUGGAAUAGGAGAAAACCAGAAGAGUCUCAGAGGGAAUCUCAAGCAUCCCUCCAGAGCACACUGCAUGGGACUGCUUUGGUACCUGGUUGGGAAAUCACCACCGCUUCCAUCCCGCUCACCUGGGGCUGCUCCAGGCUGCCAACACUGCUGCGUCCUUCCCAGAAAAACCUCUUUGGAACCAUCAGCUUUUGAAGCAGACACAGAGUUCAUGCGUUGGGCAGAUACUAAGAAAAGUCCCUGACCAAGGAAAUAACAAAUAAAUACAACCCCCCCCCCUAAAAUACAGUUGGCUGUAUUGGCUGCCAGGGUGAUCUGGAAACAUGAGCUAGAACAUCUCACUAAAAAGGCAGUAGGCAGCGUAAGGUCUGAUGGGGCUGUGCAUGAAAUGUUCAGCAAGAGGAGAGCAGGAUGAGAACUGCUGCAGCCUGAGACGUGAGCUGAGGAUGUGAUUCCUCCUCACCGGAUGCCUGGAAGAUGUCACGGAGAUUCUCUCAGAGCAACCCGUGUGGAGCCAAUAUGAACUCCCAGCAAAGUGCUUAAAAACCCAUUAUUUAUAAUAACUGUUAAAUGAUGAGACAUUGUUUACCCAGAUCGCAAGAUAAAUUCUCACUUACAGAAUGCUUGCCUGACUGUCCUGAACGUCAUCUGGUUUUUAUUUAAAUGCAAAAUGUAAUUAGGCUCCCAAUAACACAGCAGAAGAAUUCAAUAAGAUAGGGCUUUUCACUUACAGUUUAAUAUUAACAUUUUCCCAUAAAUGUUAAUGAAUAAAAGUCUACCGUUUUAUGUAUUAUCCAUGGUGGGGAGACAGCUGGCUAGGAAUGGAAGGAAAGAUAGUGUUUUCAUGCUGUGAAUUAGGAUGGAUACCUGGAGGAGAGCUAAGCAUUCCAAGCACUGCCGUGGGCUGGCACAGCACUGCCUGCUCCUGGGGCUGCCACUAAACCUGCUCCCAUGGGAGCCAUGCAGGAGAUGCUGCCCCAGCAAAAAUCCCCCUUCUUUUUUCUUUCUUUUCCUUGCUGCCUCUCCCUGCUCCUCGUGUUCUGUCUGACCAGCACCAGACAAGCAUCAGAUAGUCAACAACAGAGCUGUUAAGCAAGGACAAGGCCCCCAGCCCUGAUACUCUGAGACUCCAAUGCGGAUAGCGAGGCUAGAUUAUCAGAGCAAUCAGGUUACUAUUUGUCUGAUACUCCGUUAGGGAAACGCAGGGGGUGAUGAGAGGCGAUGGCAGGAACGCAGUAUGAUGAUAGGAAAUGAUACAGAAGGAUGGAAGAAGGCCUCAGAGUCACCGAGGUGGCACUCCAGGAGCCUGCUGAGCAACUGCUGCCUCCUGGAGCCGAGCAGCAGAUGUGGCGAUGGACCUCUGCAGGCUGAGAGCUGCAGGGCCGAAGGGCUGGAACACACUGGAACGUUUUAAUUGCUCCAGCUUCUGACCUGGAGUUUACCGAUGGGAGUUUCGCUGUGCUAAUGCAUAUUUUGCUGUUUGGUGACUCAUCCUUCAUUGCAUCUCUCUAAUAAGAAGCGUUCAUUGAACGGCUUGACUACUUAACAAUUUGUUGCAGAAAUGGGUUUCCGUGCUCCAGUCUCCUCUCCUGUUUCCCCUGAUGAGAGCUCUGCCACGACUUUGGCCAUCUUGCUUCCCCAACCAAGGGAACAGGAGAUGCCCUCAGCAUCGGUGUGACACUGAUGUCCUACGUGGGCAGGACAGAGAGUGGGCAGAUUGGCCAUGUGCUGUUUCGAGAUAACGAAAGGCUUGAACUUCCAAAGAGUUAAUGCCAGAUGCAUGGCAGAUCUGCACCACACAGCAAGCAGAAACAGGAGCAGAGUGUACCCAACCAUCCCCGACCAGCAGAACACCCCCAGCCUCCAUCCCAGAGCUGCUCCAGGGCUUCUGGCUUUGGGAGGACAGAGAGGACUGUCUUGUCCUCGUUCUGCCAUCACGUCAGCAGCUGCAACAAGCUUUGGCUCACAAACAGCUGUGAAAAUACCCGCUUCGCACGGUGGGAGAUGGGGGAUCUUGUACUUACUAAGAAAUACAUGCUUGCCUUAAGUUGUAUCCUACACAGAAAUACAACGUGAGGACUGUAAAAGGAACAGCAGGGUAAUUACAGAAAUCAGAGAUGGAAAAAUCCCACGUGGCCGUCUCGCCUCCCGCACCCUGCUCAGUGCAGGACUCCUCGGUGUGGGGCAUGCUUCAGAACUCUGGCUUUUAAAGGGAACAUGUAACAAACACUUGAGAAAUGUUUCUAAAUAUUUAGAAAUCCCCAAAUAAGAGACUCCCAAGCCAAGCUGUACAAACAGAAAAUCAAUUAAAACAAAAAAAAACCUGUUAAAAAUCCACAGCUUUUGCAUGCACCAAACCACAUCUCUCUGAACAGUAAGCAUCAAAGCAUCACCUCAUGGUCAGGACACUGCAAACAGUGCUGUUAGGAUGCGCAGCCCUCUGCAGAAUCAGCCCUAAAUGAAUACCUACCGUGCUUUCCUCUUGCUUCCACUGAAAUCAAUAGCAGAAGCCUCAGUGAUGCAAAAAGCUUAAUGCUUUACAAGGUGCUCAGCAAAACACUCAUACGUGAGCAAAACCAAGCUAGAGAGAAGGGACAUUUUUCUGUGAAGUGCUGGAGUAUUGCAGAAGGAAAAUUAAUUUGCUUAAUCAUUAGUAAGGAAAACCACAACCCAAACCAAACCAAACCCCAACAUAAUAACAAAUCUCUAUGGAGAAAGGGAAUUGUUUCUCUGUGAACUACUUGGAGACAAAGCACUGGAAGAAAAAUGUCCAGUUCCAAUAAUGUCAUAACCUGAUUACAGCCUGCACAGGAGAGCUAAAACACUUGCAGAACAAUGAGUAAGAAAUUAAGUUUUAAAUUGAGUGCUGGCCCUAUCUGGUGUCACUUCUUUAUAUUCCAGCAGAAAGGACACUGCUGAGCUCAUUUCGCAUACAGCAGCCCGAGAUGCCUGGGUACAGACAUCAUUUAGUCAUCCCGUGCAUGUUUCUCCCCAUUACUUUCUCUGGGAGGAAUGACAAAUCUAGAAAUGUGACUGCACUUUGUUUUAUUAUGGUAUUGAUUUUUCUGCAAAGGGAAACUGCAUUUAUCCCCCAGGUCUGUGUGCUGGCAAGAAAGGGUUAACAAAAUGUUUAUCACAAAGCUGGCUUCAGAGUUGAAAGUAAUGUGAUCAGUAAUGAAUUUUGUGUUACAUUAGGUUGUAUAAAUGGACAGACAAGCGCAGACAACAAGUGGCCAGGAGUCGGGGCUAAUCUAAUGAUGUAAAAAUAGAGACAGCACCAAUUAUACUUGGGGCCAGCUCAGAGCUCCUGCAGGGACUGCAAAUGAAUAGGUACAAAUCAAAUUACUGACUAAUAGACGCACUACAAGAGAGGGCAGUCAAUGCUAAAUACAUUAGGGCCUUGUGACCUCUCUGCUCUGAACAGCAGAAUCCUAAAUUUGACUUAAAAAAAAAAAAAUCAAAGGAACUCUUGUUCAUUUAAGGAGAGAAACAGAACAAUGUUAUUUGCGACAUGAUUUGAAACGCUCAGAUAUUUUUUGUUUUGCUCCCCUACGACCACGCUAUGUGCGUAACCCCUGGAAACCUGACAGAGGGUUUGCUUUUAUAGCAAGGAGAAAUAGCCUUUGUGCAGAAGUUCAGACCUGAGAACAAUACAGUCAUGUUACAUACCAAAACAUUUCAAAGCCAUGUGCCUCUUUGCGGUGAUGUUUUUUACUGCUACUUCACCGGCUGUUUCUGUAUCAAAAAUAAAAUAUUUCUUAAAAAGUGCCUUGAUUGAAUGAGAAGAAAGAUACCAGGAAUCUCCCCAAACCACGAGCAAGAGGAAAUAAGCACAGCCGACCAACUUGUUAUCAAAGAGCAGAAAGUCAGAUGUCUCUCAGCAUCAGUGUGCCCCUCAGAAACAGCAGCGGGUAUUUUCUAUGAGCAGCAAUGAACCUGAAUUCACACCGAAGACAUCUGUGGUAGUGACAUUCCCUCCCCCGCCCACCGAAUGGACGCACCGAUGGGCCCAGAGGAAAUCCCACUCCGAGCCCUGAGCUGGAUGUGGGCCGCAGGCAGCCCCAGCUGAGGAGCGGAGCAUCAGGGCAGCUGGGGACUGGGCAGUUGUGGGGUCUGAAUGCACCCAGUGGCCCACAGAGCCCUGCAGUGGGGCUGGCAGUUGUGUGGGCAGGGCAGGAGGAGCCCUCGGUGCCUCUGGUGCUGCACCUCGCAUGUGGGAAACGAGCGACAAAAGCACACCGAGAUGUGUGCAGCACAAACGCUGCUCUUCUUACCCAGCACUUCAAACAUGGCGGCUCCUCAAGAGCCCUGAAGCUUCAUCUUUUUUUUUAAAGAGUCUCAUCCAAAUAAACCUUUUGUAGGAAGAACAUUGAGCUCUUAGACUUAAUUGAGGGGGUAAUUUAAUCUCUGACCCUGGGAUGAAUAUUCUGAAAGUUCAAAGGCUGCUUUUAGCAUCAAUGUUAUUUGAUAUGCCACUGUGUUUGCUGCCGGAGCUGAUUUUGCAUUGAACCUAUGCAGAAAUCUCUUUGCAGAAAUGCUUUUCAAAGGGAAAACCAAUUGAUCUGUGCUCUUGUAUUCUCCACGUCUGAGUUAGGACCGAGACCAACUGAAGGGAGAGAGGGGAAAAAAACCUUAGGGAGAUUAGAAGGAAGAGGAAAGAAAGGAGGAAGAAAGGAAGGAAGGAAAAGCACCAAGUGAAGCUUUUGCUUGCCAAGCUCAGAGGUGCCAAGAGCUGCGUGAGGCUUUGGGCCGUGGCAUCCAUCUGAGGGACGGCCGCAGCUCGGCCCUGUGUGGCGGCCGGGAGCCAGAGCGGCCUGAACGCGGCUCCCAGCGCUCGGACGGGCAUUCCCUACCAGCAACUCUAAUUAGCUCCACUUACUUACACCCCAUUAAUCAGGUUAAAGAGUUUGCUUCAACAUAUGAGCCUCCUUCAUUGCAUUAGGAGUUUGUUGAUGACAUCUGGAAGGAAUCCAGAAGGUUCCUACGCAGGGCCUGCGCGGGGCUCUGCUGUGCUCACACCUCUGCUGCCAUUGACGUGCCACUGCUGGUAGCUGACGUUGUUUUCAGGAGUUUUGAAAGUGAAAAUAAAUAGAUUUUUUUUUUUUUUAAAGGAAACUUUAUAAAGGGCUCUAAAGACCUUGCUUUACAUGAUGUAGCAAGUCUUUGGCUCUUGUGGGUUUUAUUCAUCCCAAUGUUGCCACAGUUGCAUCUUUCCCUGUUCAGAACUAACAGCAUGGGUUCUGAGAUGCAAAACUUCAGAGUUCCUGGCAGAAAAAGCAGAGGUUGACAGCUGCAGCAGCACAAGCAUUGCACACAAAGUCUGCAGCAUUGCCUGUCCUGGCAGUAACCUGCACAGAGAUGUUUACUUAUUGUAUAUACUGACAAUCCUCCAUUGGAAAUUCGGGUGUUGUGUGAAGUCUCCUGAAGAAUAAAUCUACCCUGCUGCCACUGUGCUCUGUGCUUUGUAGUAAUAAGCCGGGAAAGAUGUAGGGAAUGGGUUUCGAUUUGCUAAGCCAUGUGACGGUGGAGCACACCCAGUGGAACACAGUGGAGCCAGGCUGACAUCCAGCCUGAGGGAGCACCUCUUCUUAGGGCCACAGCUGCAAGGUUUCAUGCUCCCUUCUGCUGCUCUGCAGCCAGCAAGUUCAGAUCCACUGCUUUUCUUUAAGGCCGGCCUACACCUAAAGUGGACGUAGCAAAAGACUUAAUGAAUUUGGGUUCCUGGGAUGUACACAGACCCUUCCGUGCUAUACCUCCAUGGAAAGGAACCACACCAGCGGGACGGUGGAAGAGGAAUCUGUCUUGUCAGGUUCAGCACAUGCACAGAAAUGGGGCUGCAGAAAUUGUCCUCCAUAGGUGUAUUUCAGAACACAUCCUCUCCACCAGACUGCAAAGGCCUGGCCCCAUGUUACAGCUGAUUUUCAGUACUGUGCCUAGAGAUGACCACCGUGCAUUUGAAAGUGUAAGAAAUGUGCUUGUUGUAGGACUACAUGAGUCAGAGGAUUUACUGAUUAUGGCAUUUUUGGAGGCAAAGAGCUCCAGCCUGGGCUGGAGAUUUCUGCAUGUCCUGUUUGAGAUCUGUCCCCUGGAAACACAGUUUCAUAAAUCACAAUACUAGCUUUGCUUUUGUUAUUGAAAAUGCAAUGUAGAGCUCCAGCACAUACUCAGAAACUAUACUGCAAAUGUAAACACUGUAGUUGCUUGAAAACAAAGCUUUGCAAGCAAGAGGUCACUGACCACUAACAUUUGGUGAGUAGAUUUUCGAUUAUUUUUUUCAGUUAGAGUUUGGCAGAAAGUGAAACAGCAAAAACAUAUUUUUGCAUCUUUGCCAAUUUAUGCCUCCUUUGGAAUUAAAUGUGUAUCUAGGCUGACAGCUUAUGUACAGCAGACUCCACUUAAGAUAGACAUGGGUCGUCUGGAUAAUUGCAUAACAAGGAGCAAAGCUGGUUUCCCAAUCAAGUCAACUAGCUGGACGACUGAAGUUAUCAUUUAGGUCACAAAGAAAGUAGACUUUUGGGGGGUCAUUUUCCAGACCUGAUUCUUCUCUCGUCCACUGUCCGACAGCCCCUGGCAACUAGCCGGAGUCAGGGAUGGGAAGGAGCAGUCAGGCCAUCUAACUCCCCUUCCUUGCAAAGGCUGGAUUACGACUCAUGCUUUUUGUGUCCUCCAGCUUGAUGUUGCCUAUAUAACCAACUUGUGGGUGAUUUCUGCCACAGCCAGUAGCUUGGAGCGCUGAACCAGUGAGGUGUUGCUGAUCCAGCUUUGCAAUGCAAUGGGGUAGGUAAGGAACAAAGAUACCAUUAAUAUCUGCUUCCCAAAGUGGUCUGGGUACUAUGAACAUGCGCUUCCUCUGCACUACUGUUGCAUAUCAGCCCUGAUUACUAUAUAAAUCUACGUGUCAGCUAUGUCCUAACAGUUAAGGCAUUAAAAGAAUCUAUUUAUCUCUUGCCAUUAAGUGCAUGUCAGGCUCAGCUGAGCACUUGAUAAAGUCUCAGUGUCCAUCCGAUUGCCCAUUUUUUCUUUGUCCACACUGUGGACCUGAGCACUAUGCAAGCACAUACUUUCACAUUCAGGGUUAGAUAUUUACCUAUGUUUCAGUUCAAAAAAGACUUUGUAAAUCCUACUAAUGUGUUUAAGGACUAAAAAGAGCUAAAGGAGCACAAAUAAGGGUUAAAGGCAUGCAAAACUCUGAGCUACAGUCAGUCAUUUUAGGAUUAUUAGAGUGAGGUUCAUAAAUUACAUAAUUUUGAGUCCAACGUAGAAAUGUAAUUACUGUCUUUGGAAGCAGUACCAACACAGAAAUCAACUACCAACAAGCAAAUUUAUGGCAUCUUCUCUGCUGAGCUCCUUGCUAUCAUUUCAUUGAGGUGAGUGGGUGGAAGGGAAUCCAAGGAAGGAAGAGCUAGGCCAGAAAACAGAAUGUUUUCCAAAGAUAAAUUCAAUUCAGCCUGCGCUUGUUAACAUGUAAGUGGUUUGGGGGAAGUUAAAACUAUCCUACUUGUUAGGAGCCAACAAAGACACCUCUUCUUUGAAGCAGGGGUAAUGUACCUCCGAACUUAUCUUUCCCCAUUUAUUAAGCAGCAGACAGAUGCUAGCGCUUUAAUGCGAUCCCCACUUUGACAAACGGCUGCUGGCAGCCUGCCGGGAGUGCAGUCACGCAUGCUGCAUGAGCACCAGUCGACUCCCUGGGCAAGUGCAGCUUUCCAGGUAUCAGCAGAGCAGGAGAGUACUUUUAUGGGCAUCUGGUUAAGAAGAACAGUUCAAGAGCUGCUAGGGGAUGGAAGUGGAAAGGGCAUGGGAGUUCACAGCCUUAUCACUAGGUUUUCUCGGCUGCACUGAGUCACCACAUGCCCAUAUCCUAAGAAUAAUGUACGUUAGUGAUAGAGAGAAUCCCACACCAGGCAGAAGAACACAGAGCAUAACGACAGUGUGAGCGGGGCAGUGGGAUGGGGUGAGCUGGGUCAGUGCUCAUGUUACUCACUACUGUGCAGUGGUGAUUACAUUUGCUGCUUUGAGAUGGCAUCUAUCUUACACUCAUGAUGAAGAUUUAUGUGUCUAGAGCAAUAGCAGGGGGAAAUCUUAGCUGAUUGAUGGCAUCUCUGUAUACAGUCCCCUUCUGCCUUUACACCUGCAGUAUUCUGAGCCUAAUCUUACAGCAAAGAAAUUGGCACUCAUUGGUGUCAGCUGGCUUGCACUGGUGAAAAUAGAAG
Molecule: long non-coding RNA, 10656 nt
Filed under: Gallus gallus (chicken)
Lineage: Eukaryota; Metazoa; Chordata; Aves; Galliformes; Phasianidae
Source: RNAcentral